RNAcentral lists this ribosomal RNA (448 nucleotides) under Sartoriana spinigera. RNAcentral describes it as "partial large subunit ribosomal RNA". Lineage: Eukaryota; Metazoa; Arthropoda; Malacostraca; Decapoda; Gecarcinucidae. The record is from RNAcentral.
UUUAAGUUUAAGGGCCGCGGUAUUAUGACCGUGCAAAGGUAGCAUAAUCAUUAGGUUUUUAAAUGGAAUCUUGUAUGAAUGGUUGAACAAAAGAAAAGCUGUCUUUAAAAUAAUAUUUGAAUUUAACUUUUAAGUGAGAAGGCUUAAAUAUUCUAGAGGGACGAUAAGACCCUAUAAAGCUUUAUAUUAUGGUUAUAUUUAAUUAAAUUUGGUUAAUAAAAGUUUAAUUUAAUUAUUAUAUUAUGUUGGGGAGAUAUUAGUAAAAUUUUAGAUAACUGCUAGAAAAAGAGACAAAUAUAAGUGACUAAAAUAAUAGGAGAUCCUAAGUAUAGAUUAAAAGAUUAAGUUACUUUAGGGAUAACAGUGUAAUUUUUUUUGAGAGUUCAUAUCGAAAAAAAAGUUUGCAACCUCGAUGUUGAAUUAAGAUAUCUUUAUAAUGUAGAUGUUA